This 89-nucleotide ribosomal RNA is filed under the name Colossoma macropomum (tambaqui). Lineage: Eukaryota; Metazoa; Chordata; Actinopteri; Characiformes; Serrasalmidae. The record is from RNAcentral.
AUCUCGUCCGAUCUCGGAAGCUAAGCAGGGUCGGGCCUGGUUAGUACUUGGAUGGGAGACCGCCUGGGAAUACCAGGUGCUGUAAGCUU